CCUACGGGUGGCAGCAGUGGGGAAUAUUGGACAAUGGACCAAGAGUCUGAUCCAGCAAUUCUGUGUGCACGAUGACGUUUUUCGGAAUGUAAAGUGCUUUCAGUUGGGAAGAAAAAAAUGACGGUACCAACAGAAGAAGUGACGGCUAAAUACGUGCCAGCAGCCGCGGUAAUACGUAUGUCACAAGCGUUAUCCGGAUUUAUUGGGCGUAAAGCGCGUCUAGGUGGUUAUGUAAGUCUGAUGUGAAAAUGCAGGGCUCAACUCUGUAUUGCGUUGGAAACUGUAUAACUAGAGUACUGGAGAGGUAAGCGGAACUACAAGUGUAGAGGUGAAAUUCGUAGAUAUUUGUAGGAAUGCCGAUGGGGAAGCCAGCUUACUGGACAGAUACUGACGCUAAAGCGCGAAAGCGUGGGUAGCAAACAGGAUUAGAUACCCCUGUAGUC
RNAcentral lists this ribosomal RNA (443 nucleotides) under uncultured Fusobacterium sp. RNAcentral's name for it is "bacterial SSU rRNA". It matches the Rfam family "Bacterial small subunit ribosomal RNA", at positions 338 to 795 of the family's 1533-position model. The record is from RNAcentral. Lineage: Bacteria; Fusobacteriati; Fusobacteriota; Fusobacteriia; Fusobacteriales; Fusobacteriaceae.